AGUCAAGUAAUUAAGUGCAUGUGGUGGAUGCCUUGGCAGUCAGAGGCGAUGAAAGACGUGAUAGCCUGCGAAAAGCUCCGGGGAGGCGGCAAAUAUCCUUUGAUCCGGAGAUGUCUGAAUGGGGGAACCCACCUACUUUAAGGUAGGUAUUGCAACAUGAAUACAUAGUGUUGCAAGGCGAACGAGGGGAAGUGAAACAUCUCAGUACCCUUAGGAAAAGAAAUCAAUUGAGAUUCCCUCAGUAGCGGCGAGCGAACGG
RNAcentral lists this ribosomal RNA (259 nucleotides) under Escherichia coli. RNAcentral's name for it is "partial 23S ribosomal RNA". It matches the Rfam family "Bacterial large subunit ribosomal RNA", at positions 1 to 260 of the family's 2925-position model. Lineage: Bacteria; Pseudomonadati; Pseudomonadota; Gammaproteobacteria; Enterobacterales; Enterobacteriaceae. The record is from RNAcentral.